This 429-nucleotide ribosomal RNA is filed under the name Pseudomonadota bacterium. RNAcentral describes it as "Proteobacteria bacterium partial 16S ribosomal RNA". It matches the Rfam family "Bacterial small subunit ribosomal RNA", at positions 355 to 776 of the family's 1533-position model. Lineage: Bacteria; Pseudomonadati; Pseudomonadota. The record is from RNAcentral.
UGGGGAAUAUUGGACAAUGGGCGAAAGCCUGAUCCAGCCAUGCCGCGUGUGUGAAGAAGGCCUUCGGAUUGUACAGCACUUUAAGUUGGGAGGAAGGGCAGUAAGCGAAUACCUUGCUGUUUUGACGUUACCGACAGAAUAAGCACCGGCUAACUCUGUGCCAGCAGCCGCGGUAAUACAGAGGGUGCAAGCGUUAAUCGGAAUUACUGGGCGUAAAGCGCGCGUAGGUGGUUCGUUAAGUUGAAUGUGAAAGCCCCGGGCUCAACCUGGGAACUGCAUCCAAAACUGGCGAGCUAGAGUAGGGCAGAGGGUGGUGGAAUUUCCUGUGUAGCGGUGAAAUGCGUAGAUAUAGGAAGGAACACCAGUGGCGAAGGCGACCACCUGGGCUCAUACUGACACUGAGGUGCGAAAGCGUGGGGAGCAAACAGG